RNAcentral lists this long non-coding RNA (292 nucleotides) under Lathyrus oleraceus (garden pea). Its description in RNAcentral is "Pisum sativum (pea) long non-coding RNA (PSAT_LNC038925)". Lineage: Eukaryota; Viridiplantae; Streptophyta; Magnoliopsida; Fabales; Fabaceae. The record is from RNAcentral.
AUUUGAUUCUUUUUUGUUGAAUCAACCUUCUCAGUUUUCUUGAUUCGUGGCUCUUGAUUCGUUUAUGCUAGGAAUAUAUUUAACCAUAUAUGGAUGAAUUUUGAAUAUUGAUGCUUUAUUACACUACCUUUUUAUGAGAUGACCCAUAAACCUUUACAUAGUAGAAUUCUAUAUCAUUGAUAUCCUUUUUCUAUCUUUCUUUCACCCCUUCAUUUAUCUGUAUAUUCUUAUUGCUUUACAACUAAUAAUCUGAUUUUUUUUUAUUUCAGUUGCUAUAAUUAUGUGACCACAU